AAGAUAGAAAGGUUUAAUAUAAAUGACAAAGAAACAAAACAAGAUAGAUUCUGAAUUACAACCCUGAAGUAAUUCAAAAAAUAGAAAGAAAAACAAAACAAAAUACCAACAAUCCUUCCUGGUAAGGAGAGGAGUAUCUUUCCAAUUACUGAGCUUGACAUCUGAGCCACUGACUUGCACAUCACCAUGACUAGAGCUUUCACCACUGUCAAUGUUCUGCACCAUAAUAGAUUUAUCUUGAAUCAUUUUUUUGACUUCUCUUUUCAAAGUAUGACAGUCUUCAAUACUGUGACCCUGAAUAUUAGAAUGAUAUGCAUAUUGUACAUUAGGGUCAAAAUUUCUUGAAUGCGGGUCAGGAUUAGACCUAAGAAGAGAUGUGAUCAUGCCCUAUUAUACUAAUCUCUGGACCAAACUAGCAUACGAUUCUCCAAUUGGUGUAAAACUAUCCCUAGACUUCUGCCUCUUUUCAUUGUUUGACUUGGAUCGAACAUCGAACCUAGAAGGGUUUUGAUAUAUUUAUGGAGUAGGAGGAUGAAUCUGAGGAGUUGGUAUGUACCAUUGUGAGUAAGAAAGGAGUUGAACAUAUGGCUAUGUGCUAUAUACUAGAAAUAGAGGUGGGGAAAUAGAGUAUAAUGGAUUUUGGGAGUGACUAUAGACAGCUUGGUUAUGAACUUGGGCUUGACACUGAGGGUAACAAAGAUGUGGUCUUCUUGGACGUGCCCGUUGUCCAACUACAAUAGAAUAUGCAUCUUUCUCAUUAUUCUUCCCUCCAGGUUCCCAUAAUUGAUUGCAAUAUCGUCCCAAAUAUUUCAUGGAUUCCUCAUGUCCAUCAUGCUUCUCAAAUUUCGAUAUCUCAAGGCUUGGAGGAAGGUUAACACUUGAAGACAUGCCUCAAUUUUUAUAUGAAAUAUCUUUUUUACCUACAAGUCCUAGAAAUUUUUUCAUAGCAUUUUCUGCACUCUUCAUUUUUCAAAUCAUUUUAUCUUGCUCUUCUAUCAUGCCAGGCUUCUUGGUAAGAAAUUUUGGUGGUCCCAUUAACUUAAAUGUAGGAUCAAAAGCAUAGCAGUGAUCAUCGAGAGUACUAAACAUAGACUCAGUAGCAGAUUGGGGAAGCACAAUCAUUGGAUUGAUAGCCAAGGUAGGAGAUUCAGUAGAGGGUUGGGCAACAGAAGCAAAGACUACAGGUGGUACAAUCAAUGUGAUAGAUUUACACUGAAGAGAUAGAGAAUGAGUGAUGAAAAUAUUAGGAGUUUUUGGCUUGGAGUGAAUUCUGAGGCAUAUUGUGGUGCAUCUACAACAGCAGCAUACUAACUUUGCAAUUGUGAUGGAAGACUCAAGGUAUUUACGAGGUCAAUAAUGGGGAAUGGAGGAGAAGGCAAUCCAUUGACCCAAGAUCGAUACAUUUCAAUCAUUUGUUGUCUUAGCCUCAUAACCUCUUGCUUUGAACUCUCAUUUUCUUGAAUCUUUGUUUGAUGCAUGAUGUCACUCUCUAUAUCUUUGUUGGACCCAACUAAACCUUUCUUAAAUUUAGUGUGAUGUGGAGGACCAGCCAGAAUGCCAUAAACCAACCACCUUAAACUAACUCAAUUAGAGAUAACAAAUGUGUUAGAGUUCACCACUUUCUCAAUUUUUUUUCUUUGUUUUUGAAAAGAUCUCCGAACCCAAGAAGGGCUCCUACGUAUCUCACUCAUGAAAGAGAAAAAUCUUGUGUGUGUAGUUUGUGAAGUUUUGACACAACAUGGCCAAUCGAACUCUCUUUCUUUUUCUUUUCCUUUUUCUUGAACUUUAAGAAAAGAAGAAAAUAACAAAUUGUCAAAAGAAUUGACAAAAAAUCUUUUUGAAUUUUUCAUCUUUAACAUCUCUAUACAAAAUGAAAUCUAUAAUUACCAAAGAAAAAUCUUUUUGAAUUUUGAUUUUGAAUUUCAUACGAAAAUGAAACUUGAAACAAUUAAAGGAAAAUCUUUUUUUGUAGUUUUCUUUUAAAGAUGUAUAUUAAACACCUACUCUAAAUGAAGUGUGAAGAAAAUAUUUUUAAAUUUUUUAAAUAAGAUCACCGAACCCUAGAAGGGCUGCCUUCAUAUCUCACUCCGAAGAGAAGAGAAUCAGGUGUGCAUAGUUCGUUCAGAUCGGAAAAUUAGAGAUUAACUAACAGAUUGACCAUAAAUUAAGAAACACGACCAAAGACAAAUGAUGAACAACAUCAAUAAAAUCUUUUUUGGAUUUUUAAUUAGACACUUCAGAUAAAACUGACACCAACAACUAUGAAAGAAAGAUCUUUUUUUGGUAUUUUAGUUAUAUGAAACGUACAAAACUUCUACUUUGAAUUUUUCUUUUAUAAAAAUUUCUAUUGAAAGUUUUUUUUUUUUUAAUUUUCAAAUUAUAAUGCCUGCUAAAAAAAUAAAGACAAUUUUUUUUUGAAUUUUUGUUUUUUUGAGUAAAUGAGUGCAAAAGGUAAAAAAUUGUUUUGAAUUUUUGAAUUGUGAAAAACAAAAGCCAUAAAGAACACUAAAAAACUGCGAAACUCUUUUUUUUUACUCUUUUUUAUCUUUUUUUUUCAAGAUUUUCUUGCCUACACACUUUCCUUUAAUUCUGCCACAUAUUAUUCCUCAAAUCAGUCCGUCAAAUGAACGUUAGGAUACUUGGAGGGUAGUCAGCUACAAAGGACCAAACAAGUCCCGCUAGGUCUCAAUAUGAUGCAUAUAAGAAGGACCUAAAGACUAACCUACGUUGGAUUCAACUAACCAUUCUUUUCGGGGGAGCGUAUGGUCGAUAGUUAUUGCGAUUGCUUUCCACCUAUUCCAUACCAUCCAGCGGCUUUCCCUCCUAAAAUAAGGGUGACUCAACUAGAGGUCGUAUACACAGCAUGAUAUGGGUACGACCAUGAAAAUGGGUGAGUCCGAGAGUGAAUUGAACCGAGACUUGGAGUGUACACGUGAAGUGCAAAGGAAGGCCUAAAUAGGCUCUAAAAUCAGUCCAUACAAUGCACUCCAAGGGAGCCCACUUGAAGACUUUGAAUAAGGGGUCAUUUUGGACAUUUCACACUAUUCUUGUAAUACACUAUAAAUACAACCUUCUAGGGUUUCAUUCAUUAGACUUGUAGAAAUAGAGGUGGGGAAAUAGAGUAUAAUGGAUUUUGGGAGUGACUAUAGACAGCUUGGUUAUGAACUUGGGCUUGACACUGAGGGUAACAAAGAUGUGGUCUUCUUGGACGUGCCCGUUGUCCAACUACAAUAGAAUAUGCAUCUUUCUCAUUAUUCUUCCCUCCAGGUUCCCAUAAUUGAUUGCAAUAUCGUCCCAAAUAUUUCAUGGAUUCCUCAUGUCCAUCAUGCUUCUCAAAUUUCGAUAUCUCAAGGCUUGGAGGAAGGUUAACACUUGAAGACAUGCCUCAAUUUUUAUAUGAAAUAUCUUUUUUACCUACAAGUCCUAGAAAUUUUUUCAUAGCAUUUUCUGCACUCUUCAUUUUUCAAAUCAUUUUAUCUUGCUCUUCUAUCAUGCCAGGCUUCUUGGUAAGAAAUUUUGGUGGUCCCAUUAACUUAAAUGUAGGAUCAAAAGCAUAGCAGUGAUCAUCGAGAGUACUAAACAUAGACUCAGUAGCAGAUUGGGGAAGCACAAUCAUUGGAUUGAUAGCCAAGGUAGGAGAUUCAGUAGAGGGUUGGGCAACAGAAGCAAAGACUACAGGUGGUACAAUCAAUGUGAUAGAUUUACACUGAAGAGAUAGAGAAUGAGUGAUGAAAAUAUUAGGAGUUUUUGGCUUGGAGUGAAUUCUGAGGCAUAUUGUGGUGCAUCUACAACAGCAGCAUACUAACUUUGCAAUUGUGAUGGAAGACUCAAGGUAUUUACGAGGUCAAUAAUGGGGAAUGGAGGAGAAGGCAAUCCAUUGACCCAAGAUCGAUACAUUUCAAUCAUUUGUUGUCUUAGCCUCAUAACCUCUUGCUUUGAACUCUCAUUUUCUUGAAUCUUUGUUUGAUGCAUGAUGUCACUCUCUAUAUCUUUGUUGGACCCAACUAAACCUUUCUUAAAUUUAGUGUGAUGUGGAGGACCAGCCAGAAUGCCAUAAACCAACCACCUUAAACUAACUCAAUUAGAGAUAACAAAUGUGUUAGAGUUCACCACUUUCUCAAUUUUUUUUCUUUGUUUUUGAAAAGAUCUCCGAACCCAAGAAGGGCUCCUACGUAUCUCACUCAUGAAAGAGAAAAAUCUUGUGUGUGUAGUUUGUGAAGUUUUGACACAACAUGGCCAAUCGAACUCUCUUUCUUUUUCUUUUCCUUUUUCUUGAACUUUAAGAAAAGAAGAAAAUAACAAAUUGUCAAAAGAAUUGACAAAAAAUCUUUUUGAAUUUUUCAUCUUUAACAUCUCUAUACAAAAUGAAAUCUAUAAUUACCAAAGAAAAAUCUUUUUGAAUUUUGAUUUUGAAUUUCAUACGAAAAUGAAACUUGAAACAAUUAAAGGAAAAUCUUUUUUUGUAGUUUUCUUUUAAAGAUGUAUAUUAAACACCUACUCUAAAUGAAGUGUGAAGAAAAUAUUUUUAAAUUUUUUAAAUAAGAUCACCGAACCCUAGAAGGGCUGCCUUCAUAUCUCACUCCGAAGAGAAGAGAAUCAGGUGUGCAUAGUUCGUUCAGAUCGGAAAAUUAGAGAUUAACUAACAGAUUGACCAUAAAUUAAGAAACACGACCAAAGACAAAUGAUGAACAACAUCAAUAAAAUCUUUUUUGGAUUUUUAAUUAGACACUUCAGAUAAAACUGACACCAACAACUAUGAAAGAAAGAUCUUUUUUUGGUAUUUUAGUUAUAUGAAACGUACAAAACUUCUACUUUGAAUUUUUCUUUUAUAAAAAUUUCUAUUGAAAGUUUUUUUUUUUUUAAUUUUCAAAUUAUAAUGCCUGCUAAAAAAAUAAAGACAAUUUUUUUUUGAAUUUUUGUUUUUUUGAGUAAAUGAGUGCAAAAGGUAAAAAAUUGUUUUGAAUUUUUGAAUUGUGAAAAACAAAAGCCAUAAAGAACACUAAAAAACUGCGAAACUCUUUUUUUUUACUCUUUUUUAUCUUUUUUUUUCAAGAUUUUCUUGCCUACACACUUUCCUUUAAUUCUGCCACAUAUUAUUCCUCAAAUCAGUCCGUCAAAUGAACGUUAGGAUACUUGGAGGGUAGUCAGCUACAAAGGACCAAACAAGUCCCGCUAGGUCUCAAUAUGAUGCAUAUAAGAAGGACCUAAAGACUAACCUACGUUGGAUUCAACUAACCAUUCUUUUCGGGGGAGCGUAUGGUCGAUAGUUAUUGCGAUUGCUUUCCACCUAUUCCAUACCAUCCAGCGGCUUUCCCUCCUAAAAUAAGGGUGACUCAACUAGAGGUCGUAUACACAGCAUGAUAUGGGUACGACCAUGAAAAUGGGUGAGUCCGAGAGUGAAUUGAACCGAGACUUGGAGUGUACACGUGAAGUGCAAAGGAAGGCCUAAAUAGGCUCUAAAAUCAGUCCAUACAAUGCACUCCAAGGGAGCCCACUUGAAGACUUUGAAUAAGGGGUCAUUUUGGACAUUUCACACUAUUCUUGUAAUACACUAUAAAUACAACCUUCUAGGGUUUCAUUCAUUAGACUUGGCUAAAUAUUGAUGUUGUAUCACACUUAGAAACAUUUCUCUCUUAUGAGAAAGGCUCCCAUAGCCGAAAUCCAUGUAACUAGAAUUUUCAACUUGAGGGUGGAAUCUCUCGUAUUGGAUUCAUGCUUGGAAACGUUGGGUGCAUUGAGAGAUCAAGGUCCCUCUUGUUCCUAUGUAGGAGAUAGGUUAGUGUUGUGUGUAGUAUUAAAGGUCCAAAAGUGUAACAAUUCUUUGGUUGUUAAUAUUACUGCCUCAUUUGAUCCAUCUAUCUAUCUUUAUGUUUCAGAUUUGUAGUGGACUGUUUUGUGUCUUUGUUGAAUCUGAAUUUUGUAAUCAUUGUGUUCAUCUUGUUCAUUGUGUAUUGUGGCUGUUUUGGUGUUGAAAACACACCUCUUUAUCUUGUUAUUAUGUGGUUGUAGCGAAUCCGAGAGUGAUCUCCAUCUUAGUCCUCAAAUCCUUCAGAUUAGUGGACUGUUUUGAAGUUGUUUCGUGUUUCUCUUAUUUUUCCCGCAUCACAGCGUAUACUACGGGACUUAUUGCGAAAGAAAUGACUUGGGUUAUGCAGAUGAUGACAGAUAUAAAGAGGUAACACAUAGGAGAAAAACUGUAAACACGUCGCAUGUAGGCACUCAACGAUGAUAAAAAAAACAACACAACUGAUAACAUAAACAACGUCUAUACACCCAUAAUGUCAAACUAAACCGAUAUAACUUAAAAAAUAAGCUCGAAUUCUGAAAAAUCUCCAGCAGAGUCGCCAGAGAUGUCACACCCCCUUUUUUAACCAAAAAGAUUAUUUUAAGUUUGAAAAGGAUUUUAUUAUUAAGUGACAAAAGAAAUAAUUUAUUUCGAAAAUGAUUGUUUAUAUUCAAAACUCAGAGUUGCUACUUGAAAAAAAUUGAGUGUGUCAAGUCACCUUUCGAAAUUCUUUUUCAAAAUGAUUUUGGCUUUUUAAAAGUGAUCUACGAACAGAGAUUUUGAUUAAGGAAUCUGUUGACCAAGGGGAAGGUGUUAGGCACCUCUCGAUCCCGUGAUUCGAUCACAGUGGCUUUAUGGAGUAUAUCGGCUAGUCUGACGCUAUGAAUUUAAUAAACCACAUAAAACACACAAAACAAACAAACACACGGAAAUAAAACAAAUCCAAAAGUAGUGUCCAGUCCAAAUUAUACAGUCCUAAAAAUGAAAAUGAAGAAAUGAAAACCUACUUUAUUCUAGACUAAUCCUAAACUAAACUCCACCCGACAUUGCAGGCCUUGAUCGCGCGCCAUCUUCGAAUACAACUUUCUCAGGACAUUCCAUGGAUAAAACAAUGCAGAUACCUCGAGGCAUUCCCCGAAUAAAAUAAUACAGAUACCUUAGAUCAUUCUCCGGCCAAAUAGUACAAUUGAUUCAAGUGCGACAAAACAAAACAAUUCAAUGCACAUUUUUAAACAUUCAACAAUCAAAAAUCCACUAAGUUUUGUCUACCCAACCUAAGAUUUGCCUAUUAAGCUUUCGGCCUAAAACAUGAUCCUAUCGAGUUCACAAAAUAGAUAUUUAUUUUGAAUUAAACAAAACAACAAUAAAUCAAAAUUAAUCCAAAUUCACUUUUCAUGAAGUUUUCAAUCCUCACCCAAUUAUCCAAUUACCGAUUUCAAUUAUCCAACAAGAUAUCAUUUUCAUCUAAUUUAUAUCGUUCGAGGUCAAUCAUUCAACAAAAAUACAUAUCAAGAAACAAAUCACUCCCAGAUAGAACAAACACAUCAAAAUACCUCCAUAAUCAUAUAAAAUUAAAAGAGUAGAGUUGAAGAUCGGACCUUAAUCGUUGAUUUUAUUCCAACCAAUCAGUGAUGGAUCGGAACUCAUGGAGCAACGGAACCUCGACCCAAAUGAACCUUGGCAUUGAACCCGCAACUCAAACAACCCAAUGUGUUUUGAAACUGGAAGUGACUAGUCACAGUUUUUCCGGCGGUGGUUUGCUUCGUCGGAGCUCCGACGGACCCCAGCAGUUUGAGUUAUCAACGUUUUCCAGUGAUAUUUCACCGUAACGGUAGCUCUCCGUCUUUUCCUCUCCGAUUUUCUCUCGAUCGCUUCUAUCUCUCUCUUUCUCUCGUUGUUUUCUCUCUGAUCACACCCUUUUCUCUGAUCACCUUCUCUGUAUUUUCUCCUUUGUUCCUCACUCCAUCUCUCACUGGUUUCUAUCCCAUUUUGUUGUGUGUGUGCGUGAAUUGGUGUGUAUUGAGAGUCAGUGUGUGUGAUUGGAAUUUCGGUGAGGGUGAUGUGUUUAUUAUUUUCCGGUGAGGGUCGUUGUUUACUGUGUGAGUAUGGAGUAUGUGUGAAUUUUCAUGGUGGAGUGGUGAGGAAGAUGUGAGUGUGUGUGAAGCGUAUCUUUGGGAGGUGAGUGUGUGCGUAUGGCCAUGUAUCCUAUGGAGGAGCUGUGAGAGUGUGUGAAUAUGUAGCUGUGUAUGUGAGUUUGUUAAGGGAAAUCAAGAUGAAAAAAAAAAACGUGUAAGGGAUAGGGGUAGGGGAUAUGUGGGUAUAGAGUGUAGGGGGUGUGAGUUGGUUGAAUUUAAUUGAGUGAGGUGUUAAUUUGUUAGGAUGAGGUGCCAAAAUUGUUAGGAAUUUUGUUAUUUUUGGCUUUUUAUGGAAGAAUUAUGGAAUGGAAUUGGGGUGGG
RNAcentral lists this long non-coding RNA (8241 nucleotides) under Capsicum annuum. RNAcentral describes it as "long non-coding RNA (CANN_LNC002529)". Lineage: Eukaryota; Viridiplantae; Streptophyta; Magnoliopsida; Solanales; Solanaceae. The record is from RNAcentral.